GAAGUUUAGAUAGAUAUUUCUGUUUCAAACAUUUGUCAUCCACAUCCUUCAACUUUUUUUAACAAUUUUUUGAACACCUAAACUACCAACUUCUGCAUACAAGUAUUUAAACCACCCAACAGUUUUCUAAGGGGCAAUCACUAUACUACUAUAGUACCACAUCAUUAGACACUAGGCAAUGAUAUCUACAUAUUUAACUAAUAGCUAAAGUUGACAUACAAAACAUUUGGCUAAACAAUUUUACGUGCGCUAGGCCGCUAGCGAGACAACCAACAAUCCAAUUCGUUAACCAAUGGCUUGGUUUUUGGUUUCAAUCUAUAAAAUCUUUUUAAUACAUAAACUACAAUAAGUUCUACAAGCCAAGAAGUAAAUCAGAAUACAAAUAUGACAAAGACAGCAAAUCUAAUUUAAAAACACACAUAACUGAACCUGACCCAGAAUCCCUUGAUAAAAUUAAGGCAUGUUUGACCUAAGCUCAUGGAAAUCAACCAAUGUGGUUACUUGUUCUUGACGGUUAUGCGAACUCGGUGGACCAUUUGACCUCUGUCGGCCACGCGUAUUGGUUCUGCUUCUAGUGGCUCGUGCAUUCUCUCUAGGCGUACCUGCGUUAUGAGUACUAGUCGGUCCUCUUGACCUACCAGAUUCUUCGAUCUCCGACUCAUGUGAUGACGGUGAUGGUGAUGAUGAUAAGUUAACCCCGUUAUCUCUGUUAUCCCAAUCAUCCAAAAACAGAUUACUGUUAUCUGCUGGCGAAUCUAACUCAGGAAAAAAACUUCCGAAUUCCGCUUCGAAAGCGCUAAAAAAGUUCAACAUGUUCAUAUCCGGAUCCCAGUUCGGGCUAGCGAGCUCGUAAACACCGUCCAUGAUCGCAAUCGCCUCGUCGUCAUAAUCAUCAUCGUCAAACUCGAACUGCAUACUGAGCAUAUCUUGCUGCUCCAUAUCUUGUUCCAAUUUCGUCCACUCGAGUUCACGUUCGGGGUCUACGUCUGUCGGUCUAACACGCGGGUGCUCACGCCUAGCGUGUUUCCUUAACUGCGAAUAAUUUCCGGAAAAAUCACAAGUACCCAAUGAACAGCUUCUCGUUUUCGAGUUCAUGAACUCGCGAGCACGGUUGACCACAAUCCACUUGUUGAUUUGACCUCUGCAAAGCGGGCAAACAAGCUUGGUUUGUUUGGUUUGUUCUCCGUCGUCGUUCAACGUCUUCUGAAACUGAUCGAGACAGUUCGAGUGGCGCGCGCUUGUGUCGCAGAUGUACGGGAGACAUCCUUUUUCGCGUGACGAACAGACUAAAAGGACGGCGUUGUGAGGGUGUUCCAUACAGAUACAACAUCUGGUUUCUUCCCAUUCGUUCUCAUUCCCGAUCGGUAGAGAUGGAGAUUUUGGUGUCCUUUUGUUAGAAUUCUUGUUGUAACGGGUAUAUGGAGACGCCCUAUACCUAUGCGACGAAGAUCUUCUAUCGUUGGGCAUCUUUAUGGCUUUCAAACCUGAGUGGUGAUCUAAAAGCCAAAUUUUGGAUUAGGUGAAGAAGAUUGUGGAAAUUGCAGGUUGAGAAAGUGCGUAAGCGACAUGAAUGAACUGUAUUUGUUUAGGAAGA
This 1594-nucleotide long non-coding RNA is filed under the name Helianthus annuus (common sunflower). RNAcentral's name for it is "hypothetical non coding rna". The record is from RNAcentral. Lineage: Eukaryota; Viridiplantae; Streptophyta; Magnoliopsida; Asterales; Asteraceae.